CCUACGGGAGGCAGCAGUGGGGAAUAUUGCACAAUGGGGGAAACCCUGAUGCAGCGACGCCGCGUGAGUGAUGAAGUAUUUCGGUAUGUAAAGCUCUAUCAGCAGGGAAGAAAAUGACGGUACCUGAUUAAGAAGCCACGGCGAACUACGUUCCAGCAGCCGCGGUAAUACGUAGGGGGCAAGCGUUAUCCGGAUUUACUGGGUGUAAAGGGAGCGUAGACGGCAUUACAAGUUUGGAGUGAAAUGCCGGGGCUUAACCCCGGAACUGCUUUGGAAAAUGUGAAGUUUGAGUGCAGGAGAGGUAAGUGGAAUUCGUAGUGUAGCGGUGAAAUGCGUAGAUAUUAGGAGGAACACCAGUGGCGAAGGCGGCUUGCUGGACUGUAACUGACGUUGAGGCUCGAAAGCGUGGGGAGCAAACAGGAUUAGAUACCCGAGUAGUC
This 440-nucleotide ribosomal RNA is filed under the name uncultured bacterium. RNAcentral describes it as "partial 16S ribosomal RNA". It matches the Rfam family "Bacterial small subunit ribosomal RNA", at positions 338 to 795 of the family's 1533-position model. The record is from RNAcentral.